GAGUAACGCGUGGGCAACCUGCCCCAAAGCUGGGGAUAACCUUCCGAAAGGAAGGCUAAUACCGAAUACGGUCUUUCAACGCCUGUUGAGAUGACUAAAGACGGGGAUCCUUCGGGACCUGUCACUUUGGGAGGGGCCCGCGUGCCAUCAGCUUGUUGGUAGGGUAACGGCCUACCAAGGCUUACGGCUAGCUGGUCUGAGAGGAUGAUCAGCCACACUGGGACUGAGACACUGCCCAG
This 239-nucleotide ribosomal RNA is filed under the name uncultured bacterium. Its description in RNAcentral is "partial 16S ribosomal RNA". It matches the Rfam family "Bacterial small subunit ribosomal RNA", at positions 108 to 334 of the family's 1533-position model. The record is from RNAcentral.